This 21-nucleotide microRNA is filed under the name Magallana gigas (Pacific oyster). RNAcentral's name for it is "Mgi-Mir-2-o56_5p (mature (co-guide))". Lineage: Eukaryota; Metazoa; Mollusca; Bivalvia; Ostreida; Ostreidae. The record is from RNAcentral.
CGGUCAAUGUGGGAUGUCGUA